GAUGAACGCUGACAGAAUGCUUAACACAUGCAAGUCUACUUGAACUUCGGUUUGGGUGGCGGACGGGUGAGUAACGCGUAAAGAACUUGCCUCACAGUUAGGGACAACAUUUGGAAACGAAUGCUAAUACCUGAUAUUAUGAUUUUAGGGCAUCCUAGGAUUAUGAAAGCUAUAUGUGCUGUGAGAGAGCUUUGCAUCCCAUUAGCUAGUUGGAGAGGUAACGGCUCACCAAGGCGAUGAUGGGUAGCCGGCCUGAGAGGGUGAACGGCCACAAGGGGACUGAGACACGGCCCUUACUCCUACGGGAGGCAGCAGUGGGGAAUAUUGGACAAUGGACCAAAAGUCUGAUCCAGCAAUUCUGUGUGCACGAUGACGUUUUUCGGAAUGUAAAGUGCUUUCAGUUGGGAAGAAAAAAAUGACGGCACCAACAGAAGAAGUGACGGCUAAAUACGUG
RNAcentral lists this ribosomal RNA (454 nucleotides) under uncultured bacterium. Its description in RNAcentral is "partial 16S ribosomal RNA". It matches the Rfam family "Bacterial small subunit ribosomal RNA", at positions 28 to 507 of the family's 1533-position model. The record is from RNAcentral.